GACCUAGCCCUAUUCCAUUAUGAACAACAAUAUAACUCUGUCUAGAGGUGACCUAGCCCUAUUCCAUUAUAAACAACCUCUGUCUAGAGGUGACCUAGCCCUAUUCCAUUAUAAACAACAAUAUAACUCUGUCUAGAGGUGACCUAGCCCUGUUUCAUUAUAAACAACCUCUGUCUAGAGAUGACCUAGCCCUGUUUCAUUAUAAACAACCUCUGUCUAGAGGUGACCUAGCCCUAUUCCAUUAUAAACAACCUCUGUCUAGAGGUGACCUAGCCCUAUUCCAUUAUAAACAACCUCUGUCUAGAGAUGACCUAGCCCUAUUCCAUUAUAAACAACCUCUGUCUAGAGGUGACCUAGCCCUAUUCCAUUAUAAACAACCUCUGUCUAGAGGUGACCUAGCCCUAUUCCAUUAUAAACAACAAUAUAACUCUGUCUAGAGGUGACCUAGCCCUGUUUCAUUAUAAACAACCUCUGUCUAGAGAUGACCUAGCCCUGUUUCAUUAUAAACAACCUCUGUCUAGAGGUGACCUAGCCCUAUUCCAUUAUAAACAACCUCUGUCUAGAGGUGACCUAGCCCUAUUCCAUUAUAAACAACCUCUGUCUAGAGAUGACCUAGCCCUAUUCCAUUAUAAACAACCUCUGUCUAGAGGUGACCUAGCCCUAUUCCAUUAUAAACAACCUCUGUCUAGAGAUGACCUAGCCCUAUUCCAUUAUAAACAACCUCUGUCUAGAGUUGACCUAGCCCUAUUCCAUUAUAAACAACAAUAUAACUCUGUCUAGAGUUGACCUAGCCCUAUUCCAUUAUAAACAACAAUAUAACUCUGUUUAGAGGUGACCUAGCCCUAUUCCAUUAUAAACAACCUCUGUCUAGAGUUGACCUAGCCCUAUUCCAUUAUGAACAACAAUAUAACUCUGUUUAGAGGUGACCUAGCUCUAUUCAAUUAUGAACAACAAUAUAACUCUGUUUAGAGGUGACCUAGCCCUAUUCCAUUAUAAACAACCUCUGCCUAGAGGUGACCUAGCCCUAUUCCAUUAUAAACAACCUCUGUCUAGAGAUGACCUAGCCCUAUUCCAUUAUAAACAACCUCUGUCUAGAGGUGACCUAGCCCUAUUCCAUUAUGAACAACAAUAUAACUCUGUCUAGAGAUGACCUAGCCCUGUUCCAUUAUAAACAACCUCUGUCUAGAGGUGACCUAGCCCUAUUCCAUUAUAAACAACCUCUGUCUAGAGUUGACCUAGCCCUAUUCCAUUAUGAACAACAAUAUAACUCUGUUUAGAGGUGACCUAGCCCUAUUCCAUUAUAAACAACCUCUGUUUAGAGGUGACCUAGCCCUAUUCCAUUAUAAACAACAAUAUAACUCUGUCUAGAGUUGACCUAGCCCUAUUCCAUUAUAAACAACCUCUGUCUAGAGAUGACCUAGCCCUAUUCCAUUAUAAACAAUCUCUGUCUAGAGGUGACCUAGCCCUAUUCCAUUAUAAACAACCUCUGUCUAGAGGUGACCUAGCCCUAUUCCAUUAUAAACAACCUCUGUCUAGAGUUGACCUAGCCCUAUUUCAUUAUGAACAAAAGUUGAACUUAGAGAACUUUGAGUCUCUGUUACUUUUAUUGUAAAUUAAUUAACUUUUCAUUUUUAUUGUAGAUGAUUAAAAUUUUACUUUUAUUAAUUAAAUUGUACUUUAUCGUAAAUUAUUUAACUAACUUUUAUUGUUAAUUAUUUAAAUUUGAAUUUAUUGUAAAUUACUUUAAUGUUAAACUGUUAUCAUUUUCCAAUGUACUUUUCUAUGUAUUGUAUAUACUGUUUACUUUCUAUAAAUGUGUUAUUUUUUUCCAGUUUACUUUGCAAUGUAUAUUCUUUUCAAACGUAUUAUUAUUAUUAUUUUCUAUGAUUGUGUAUAAUAUUUUUUUUAGCAAUUCUGAAUGCAACCGACCAGCAUGACGUUCACCUCUCUGUACCCUGCAAUCGCGGCAAUGUAACCAUAGAAAUAUAAUUACAAGAACAGUAUUCCUGUUCAUUCUCCCUUGUUCUAAUGGGAUUUUUUCCCCCGAAAUCUAGAAAUCAUAUAUCUAUGAAUGUUAAAGAGGAGAAAAAAAUCCACUUUUCCUCAGCUGUCCUCUGAAUGUUUGGCAGGUGAUAUAACUAAGUAUCAUAUUUUCUUAGCUGCUAUCAAUAAGACAUCCAUCCAUCUGCUAUUUAAAAAUAUAGAUAUUUUGCACUCCUGUAUUUGCAUGACUAUGAUGCACCAACAUUUAUAAGUCAGUUGCUUAUAAAUUAAAGUAAAUUAAAGUAAAAAAAGCUGUUAAUUUAUUGUAUCAAAUGAACACAUAUAGAGAAUCAGAGUUGAUAUUAUUAUAAUCAUCCAAAAAUAACCCCAAUCAGUCAGUACAUCCACGUAUAGUCAAGAAUAUUUUUUUAAAUAUUUUUUUUAUACAUAUCACUGUUGCUAUUGUCAGAAUAAACUGUCCAACAUAUCAGUUAAACACAUUAUUUGCUCAAUAUGAAUUGAUACAGUGCCUUCUGAAAGCAUUCUGAAAGCAAUUGACUUUUUCCCACAUUCUGUUGUGUUGAUGUUGUGUCACUGAUCUAAACUCAAUACCCCCAUCAUAUUCAAAGUGGAAUUAUGUUUUUAGAUUUUUUUUAUUAACAAAUUAAUUAAAAAUUAAAAGCUGAAAUGUCUUGAGUCAA
Oncorhynchus gorbuscha (pink salmon) is the source of this 2684-nucleotide long non-coding RNA. RefSeq lists it as uncharacterized. The record is from RefSeq and is a predicted model, not a curated record. NCBI's taxonomy places the organism in Eukaryota, Metazoa, Chordata, Actinopteri, Salmoniformes, Salmonidae. The transcript has 2 exons.